This 267-nucleotide long non-coding RNA is filed under the name Nicotiana benthamiana. RNAcentral's name for it is "long non-coding RNA (NBEN_LNC040351)". Lineage: Eukaryota; Viridiplantae; Streptophyta; Magnoliopsida; Solanales; Solanaceae. The record is from RNAcentral.
ACUAAACAAUCUGUCAGUAUACCUAAACUACCUUUUCUGGUGGUGUUGUGCAAAAUCCGAGACCACCGCGAGGUUCGGCUCACAAUUCCGACCCUACCCAUCCACUUUUUGUUCGACUCCGACAACUUUGAUUUUUUCCGGCGACCUACAGUGAUUUUUCCGGCAGCUACAAUACUUUCCGGCCAAUAUUUCUUCAGGACAGUGUGCUCCUACUUGAAUUCCGAGCCUAUCCAUAUUUUUACUUUUCAAUUCCGACAACUUUGAAUU